This 2837-nucleotide ribosomal RNA is filed under the name Gossypium arboreum. RNAcentral's name for it is "eukaryotic LSU rRNA". It matches the Rfam family "Eukaryotic large subunit ribosomal RNA". The record is from RNAcentral. Lineage: Eukaryota; Viridiplantae; Streptophyta; Magnoliopsida; Malvales; Malvaceae.
AUAAAAUUUGCAUGGCCAUUUUAUGUUUUAUUUUUAUUUAAUACAUUUUAAUAUUCCAUUUACCUUUUUGUCCUUUAUAAUAAUACAUAAUUUCAUAUAUGCCAAACCACCAAUCUCCACUAUCAUAAAGUAAUAGUUUAAUUGAUAAAUAGAGACUUAUACUUUAGUAAAUCAUGGAAAAUAAACACUUAAACAAUUAGAAUGUAACUUUUUCAUUUUACGCGAUUUAGUUCUUUUUGCUUAAUUAACUAUCGAAAUGAUAAAAUUUUUCAACGAAACUUUAAUACCAUCUUUUUGCCACUCCGUAAAUAUUUAUAAAAAUAUUAUAGAGGCCUCUCCCCCUUAUUGUAUUCAUUCAAUGAUUAAUAGAAUUUUGAGAGCAUUCACUCAAACUUUUCUCUCAAGUGUUCUUAUUUUUCUGUGGCUUUUGUUCAUCUUUUGAGAUCGUUCUUACUUCAUUCUUCUGCUGUUCUUCGUGGGUUCUUUGGAGGAGUUCUAUUGAAUCCUCAAUUGUUGCGAGAUAGGCUGACUUAGGCGUUUUUGAGUGGAGAAACGCUUAAGGCCGUAUGGAUUGCUUGGGAAAACUCUAAGUCUGUGACACUAGUAACUGGUUCCCUCUGAAGUUUCCCUUAGUAUAGCUGGAGCCCUUAGCGAGUUCUAUCGGGUAAAGCCAUUGAUCAGAGGCAUCUAGAGCUCAACGCCCUCGACCUCUUCUCAAACUUUAAAUAGGUAGGACGGCGUGGCUGCUUCAUUGAGCAGCGCCACGGAAUCGAGAGCUCCAAGUGGGCCAUUUUUGGUAAGCAGAACUGGCGAUACGGGAUGAACCAGAAGUCAAGUUACGGUGCCCAACUGCGCGCUAACCUAGAACCCACAAAAGGUGUUGGUCGAUUAAGACGGCAGGAUGGUGGUCAUGGAAGUCGAAAUCCGCUAAGGAGUGUGUAACAACUCACCGGCCGAAUCAACUAGCCCCAAAAAUGGAUGGCGCUUAAGCGCAUGACCUAUACCCAACCGUCGGGGCAAGGGCUAGGCCCCGAUGAGUAGGAGGGCGCGGUGGUCGUCGUAAAACCCAGGGCGCGAGCUCGGGCGGAGCGGUCGUCGGUGCAAAUCUUGGUGGUAGUAGCAAAUAUUCAAAUGAGAACUUUGAUGGCCGAAGAGGGGAAAGGUUCCAUGUGAACGGCACUUGUACAUGGGUUAGUCGAUCCUAAGAGACGGGGAAGCUCGUCCGAUAACGUGUCCAGCGCGAGCUUCGAAAGGGAUUCGGCUUAAAAUUCCUUAACCAGGACGCGGCAGCUGACGACAACGUUAGGGAGUCCAGAGACGUCGAUGGGGCCCUCGGGAAGAGUUAUCUUUUCUAUUUAACGUUAGGCGGCCCUUGAAAAUCUAAAAGACCGAGUGCCAUCCGCGCCCGGUCAUACUCAUAACCGCAUUAGGUCUCCACAGUGAACAACCUCUGGUUAAUGGAACAAUGUAGGCAAGGGAAGUCGGCAAAAUGGAUUCGUAACCUCGGGAAAAGGAUUGGCUCUUGGGUCUGGGCAUGGGGGCCCUAGUCUCUAACCCAUCGGUUACCGAUGCACUGCUCAAGCUACUUUCAAGGUGAGAGUGGGUUGCCGCAUGCCGAUCGAGGGACAGACUGGGAACGGUUCCCUUAGGGGCCUUCCCAGGGCGACGAACAGCAAACUCAGAACUGGUACAGACAAGGGGAAUCCGACUGUUUAAUUAAAACAAAACAUUGCGAUGGUCCCUGCGGAUGCUCACGCAAUGUGAUUUCUGCCCAGUGCUCUUAAUGUCAAAGUGAAGAAAUUCAACCAAGCGCGGGUAAACAGUGGAAGUAACUAUGACUCUCUUAAGGUAGCCCCAAAUGCCUCAUCAUCUAAUUAGUGACGCGCAUGAAUGGAUUAACGAGAUUCCCACUGUCCCUGUCUACUAUCCAGCGAAACCACUGCCAAGGGAACGGGCUUCGCAGAAUCAGCGGGGAAAAAAGGCCCUGUUGAGCUUAAAUCUAGUCCGACUUUGUGAAAUGACUUGAGAGGUGUAGGAUAAGUGGGAGCUCUCGGGCGAAAUUGAAAUACCACUACUUUUAAUGUUAUUUUACUUAUUUAGUGAAUUGGAGGCGGGGCCGGCCCCUCUUUUUAGACCAAAGGUUGUCUUCGGCUGGCCGAUCCAGGCAGAAGACAUUAUCAGGUGGGGAGUUUGGCUGGGGUGGCACAUCUGUUAAAAGAUAAUGCAGGUGUCCUAAGAUGAACUCAACGUGAACAGAAAUCUCGUGUGGAACAAAAAGGUAAAAGCUCGUUUGAUUCUGAUUUCCAGUACGAAUACGAACCGUGAAAGCAUGGCCUAUCGAUCCUUUAAACCUUCAAAAUUUGAAGCUAGAGGUGUCAGAAAAUUUACCACAGGGAUAACUGGCUUUUGGCAGCCAAGCGUUCAUAAAUCCUUCGAUGUUGGCUCUUCCUAUCAUUGUAAAGCAGAAUUCACCAAGUGUUGGAUUGUUUACCCACCAAUAGGGAACGUGAGUUGGGUUUAGACCCUCAUGAAACAGGUUAGUUUUCCCCUACUGAUGGCCGCGUCGCAAUAGUAAUUCAACCUAGUACGAGAGGAACCGUUGAUUCGCACAAUUGGUCAUCGCACUUGGUUGAAAAGCCAGUGGCGCGAAGCUACCGUGUGCUGGAUUAUGACUGAAUGCCUCUAAGUCAGAAUCAGGGCUAGAAGCGACGCAAGCGCCCGUUGCCCGAUUUCCGACCCACAGUAAGGGCCUUUGGCCCCCAAGGGCAUGUGUCGUAGGUGCAGCGACCCCCGCAGACAAGUCGCGGGCGCCUCCUUAGAGCGUAAUUCCCACCAAG